This 253-nucleotide ribosomal RNA is filed under the name uncultured bacterium. RNAcentral describes it as "partial 16S ribosomal RNA". It matches the Rfam family "Bacterial small subunit ribosomal RNA", at positions 524 to 776 of the family's 1533-position model. The record is from RNAcentral.
UACGGGGGGGGCAAGCGUUGUUCGGAAUUACUGGGCGUAAAGGGCUCGUAGGCGGCCAACUAAGUCGGACGUGAAAUCCCCAGGCCCAACCUGGGAACUGCGUCCGAUACUGGAUGGCUUGAAUCCGGGAGAGGGAUGCAGAAUUCCAGGUGUAGCGGUGAAAUGCGCAGAUAUCAGGAGGAACACCGGUGGCGAAGGCGGAUCUCUGGGCCAUUACUGACGCUGAGGAGCGAAAGCGUGGGGAGCGAACAGG